AGCAGCCGCGGUAAUUCCAGCUCCAAUAGCGUAUAUUAAAGUUGUUGCAGUUAAAAAGCUCGUAGUUGAAUUUCGGGAUCAAUAUAUCGGUCGUGCCUUGGUACGUACUGGUAUCAUUGGUUUCUCCUUUCUGACGAACCAUGAUGUCAUUAAUUUGGUGUUAUGGGAAGUUAGGACUGUUACUUUGAAAAAAUUAGAGUGUUUAAAGCAGACUUUGGCUUGAAUACAUUAGCAUGGAAUAAUGAAAUAGGACGUUCGAACCUAUUUUGUUGGUUUCUAGGAUCAACGUAAUGAUUAAUAGGGAUAGUUGGGGGCAUUAGUAUUCAAUUGUCAGAGGUGAAAUUCUUGGAUUAUUGGAAGNCUAACUAACUGCGAAAGCAUUUGCCAAGGAUGUUUUCAUUAAUCAAAGAACGAAGUUAGGGGAUCGAAGACGAUCAGAUACCGUCGUAGUCUUAACCAUAAACUAUGCCGACUAGGGAUCGGAUGAUGUUAAUUUUUUAAUGACUCAUUCGGCGCCUUA
Molecule: ribosomal RNA, 520 nt
Filed under: uncultured Glomus
Lineage: Eukaryota; Fungi; Glomeromycota; Glomeromycetes; Glomerales; Glomeraceae
Description: SSU rRNA
Rfam family: Eukaryotic small subunit ribosomal RNA
Source: RNAcentral